RNAcentral lists this ribosomal RNA (469 nucleotides) under uncultured bacterium. Its description in RNAcentral is "bacterial SSU rRNA". It matches the Rfam family "Bacterial small subunit ribosomal RNA", at positions 34 to 498 of the family's 1533-position model. The record is from RNAcentral.
CGCUGGCGGCAGGCCUAACACAUGCAAGUCGAGCGGAUGACGGGAGCUUGCUCCCUGAUUCAGCGGCGGACGGGUGAGUAAUGCCUAGGAAUCUGCCUGGUAGUGGGGGACAACGUCUCGAAAGGGACGCUAAUACCGCAUACGUCCUACGGGAGGAAGUGGGGGAUCUUCGGACCUCACGCUAUCAGAUGAGCCUAGGUCGGAUUAGCUAGUUGGUGAGGUAAUGGCUCACCAAGGCGACGAUCCGUAACUGGUCUGAGAGGAUGAUCAGUCACACUGGAACUGAGACACGGUCCAGACUCCUACGGGAGGCAGCAGUGGGGAAUAUUGGACAAUGGGCGAAAGCCUGAUCCAGCCAUGCCGCGUGUGUGAAGAAGGUCUUCGGAUUGUAAAGCACUUUAAGUUGGGAGGAAGGGCAUUAACCUAAUACGUUAGUGUUUUGACGUUACCGACAGAAUAAGCACCGGCU